Molecule: ribosomal RNA, 94 nt
Filed under: uncultured bacterium
Lineage: Bacteria
Description: partial 16S ribosomal RNA
Rfam family: Bacterial small subunit ribosomal RNA
Source: RNAcentral
CCGCGUGGAGGAUGAAGUAUACUUGGUCGUAAACUCCUUUCGAUGGGAAAGAUAAUGACGGUACCCAUAGAAGAAGCCCCGGCUAACUUCGUGC